UAGUGGACUCGUUUGUUUUACCUCCGGGAAGGUAGCUCGUUGUUCCUUCGUGUUAGCCAAAAUGCGGGCUCAUUGCAUUGCUGGACAUUGCUUGAACAAUCAGGAGAAUGGAAUUACCCUUCAUAAGUUUGAAAGAGACCCUGUUCGUUGUGAAAAAUGGAUUGCAAGGGUGCAGAGGACGAGAGCUUCGUGGGUUCCAAAUAGAUAAAGUGUCCAUUUGCUCAUCAGACAAGAAUGUGUUGUGGAGCGCCAUGGCUGUCCUUGAUCUUUGUAUGCAGAAAACCGGCUGGUGCCAUCCUCCCCUCCCAGGCGUUGCCGUGGAGAUGAACGACACCAGAUAAGGAGGGGAAAGUUACCAUCCCGGCCCAGGACCAGACUACAAGGGGGGCAGGCACUUCUGCCAUGGACCCAUACAUAUAAAAACCCUUUGUUACCGGGCAGCUCUUGUCUUCUUCUUGGGUCAUCUUGUCAGAAGACACACGUCUCGUGUGCAGCAGAUGCCUAGAUAAGACCCGGACACGGUCCAAACUCGCAAAUUUCUACAAUUUGGUUUCCCUGAUCGUAAGUUGAGGGAGAUCGAUGAGCGUUGGCCAUUGACGGAGGACAUUGUUUGAAGCCAGAUGAGAAACACAGGAGUGUUUUACGGACAAGUCGAGGGUGAUCGCCUGUAUGUCUGACUUCUCCUGGUCGACCGAAACCAAAGGUAAGCAGAAGCCUGUUAAUGUCGAAUUCUGCAUAUUGAACUGCCUAAAUUUGAGAAGUCAUUGGUAUUAAAUUGUUCAUGCCUCAUAUGAGUAUUGAGAAUAAGAGAUAAAGACAAUAAAGAGAAUAAGAGAUGAAGCGAAUAAGAGAUAAAGAGAAAAAGUGAUAAAGAGAAGCUGUAUAACCCGUCGUAACUGACGUAUAUUGUAGAUGUGCAAUUGGACUGUGAGGUUCACCUGUUACACCUAAGGUGGAUGGGAUCCAUUAAAAACAGAGGAUUUGCUGUUGGUUUGAGCCUGGGAGGUCUCAAGGUGACGUACGAAAAAAAAACCAAAUAGUAUAGGCUAAUUUAUUGCGUGAUUUGGUUGGGUUUAGUUGAAGAAGAGUGAUCGCUAAAUUAAAUAGAUAAUCUUGGUUGGUGAAUUUGAUCAUGAAUGUGCUGAAUAUAAUCCGAUUAAAGAUGAAAUGUACAUUGAAACUGAGCGGCAAAUGAUGGCUAAUGUUGAUCAAAAGGAACAAGAUAAAGAAAGGAAGCACGCAUUAUAAUAAUGGGAAAAACACAACUUGGGUAAAAUUUGCGAUUGGGACAAAGUGACGAUGAAAUUAUAGGAAGUUCACAGAGAAUAUGUAAAACAGGGGAAAAAUGCACGUGACAGAUUAGAUAAGGGCGCGUGGAAUGUAAAGAGGAAAUGUAAGAGAGAACUUGAAGAGGUGGACCAAGGAAGGCGGACUGCACAUUUAAUGACGGUGAUGGCGGCGUUGAAAAAUGGUAAUGGAAAGUCGGACGAAAGUAAAGUGAAUAAAGAAGAUGGUGCAGUUACUCCCAGACCGGCGUCGACCGCACCCCUGUAUCCAACACUCUCGUCGCCUUACGCAGGGGAGACGGACGUUGAAACAGGACCGGGGAACUACCCAAUGAUGAAAAUCGCUGGUAAGGUGGCAUGUGACAUUGAGGGUAUCACGGAACCCAUGACGGAGGAAGAAAAGGGUGCUGACAAAAGUUAUAUGUGAUAUGUGGGUACGAGUAACAAAAAAAAUGGAAAUGAGGAACAAGACACAUUGAGCAUGCACACAUGCGUGGGCCUUGAAUCACACGGAACUAUACCACACACACACAUGGUCACAGAGGAAGAUGAGGAAGCGGAAGAAAGGGAGGGCAUAGAAGACUUACCUCCGCCUCAGACCAAUGUCAGUUUGCGUAACGAAAAACCUUUAGUUUUCCCUCCCUCACGUCAGAGUGAGCGGAUAAAAAACAAACAAGCAACCAAACAAAACGCUACAAUGGUGCCGAUGAUAGCGGCUCCGACAGGUCCAAUAUACAUGCCGUUUGAUCUUAAAGAUGUUGAUUGUCUUACUGCAUGGUUGCAUCGUCUUUUUUCUGGUGGUAAUGCAUGUCUGUCUAGUUUUGUGAAAACUUUACAGGGGUAUACACUCUGCAUGGGAGACUGGAGACAAGCAGCAUCUAGGUCAUGCACGAGCUAAAGCUGACCCUGAACCUCCUGUCCGGAGAUAAACCUAGAUUUAGAUGACACUUAGUGCAUCCCCUCAAAAUGUAUUCAAGCCAACAACAGGGUGAGGAUAAUGAAACUAUUAAACUCCAAAAACAACUUCUUAAAUUACAAGUAGCGCAGGCAAGAGAUGAGGCCACACAAAAGAAGAUAGAUAAGAAGGAAAAGUCCAAAACCACACCAGACGUAAUUUUUUUGGCAGGCACAACCACCUAGACAGGCAGGGAGGUUCUGGGGUAAUAGCCGCAGGACACGCAGGAAGGCAUGGGGUGGGGUGGAUUGGUGUGCAACGUGAUCAAGGGUGUUUUGGUUGUGGUUCCCUCGAUCACUGGAUUAAAGACUGUCCUACAGCUCUUCCACCUCGAGGUCCAAUGCAGGGCCAUGGUGGCUGGUUCAACAACCGAGGGGGCCAAGGCAGAUGCAGAGACGACAGCUUUGGGGGCCCACCAUGGCAGCAAGAUAGACAGCAGCAGGUUGGACAGUACCACUAGGGGUGCCCGGGAAGACAGGGAUCCGGCAAUGCAGGUGCCAUGAUCUCCAUCUCUGUUGUGGGGCGAAAAGUGAACACUCUCGUUGACACAGGAGCAACACACUCCUCACCCAACAUCUCGCUCCCGGACACUUUAUUGUCACAACACACUGUGCAAUUGAUGGGCUUCUCAGGGACUCAAUAGGCCCUUGCAAUGGACUCAACCCCUACCGACAAUCUUGGCUGGACACCAUUCGUUUAUAAUGCUGGCAGCUGACACCGUCUGCCACUCUGGACAAUAACUUAUGACACCUGUGAGUGAAGCAACUCCAAAUGUGGACAUUUAUUGGGCCCGACUAGAAACACCGCUCAAACCUGGUCUCAUGCAUCAAUUUCUGUUGUGGAAGCCCUGGUUAAACACUCUUAGGGCUUACCUGCCUCCACGAGAUCCAUACCAUUGCACACUAUACGACAACCGCAACCACGAUCUAGUGUACAUGGAAAACUUUGCAUGCAUACAAGGUGAUGCUUGGAAUAUUACAUCCACACAUAUAUACGCAGCUCUUACACCAGGUUGUUUAAAAUGCAGGAAGAGUCAGUACUCCACAUUUCACCCGCUCUGUCUCCAGGGCACGAGGCCCGGUAGCUGGGACCUAUGGUGAAACAACUGACUAAAAUUAGUUUGGUCCUCUGGACCCUUUGAUGUUGCGGCUGCUAACCAUGAUGGAGGACACCCUCACUGGCCUGUGGAAUUCUAGAGUCCUGGAAACAUCCACCUCCUCAUGGUGUACACCACUCAGGCCAGUUUUAAAAGCAGAUGGUAACACUUAUCGUAUGGCGCAUGUUUUGAGGGCCAUUAAUGAUGUAACAAACCCACGAUCGUUACCUGUACCAGACCCCCACAGAAUGUUGUCUACCAUCACACCUGAUUUGAAAUACUUCACAGCGAUUGAUUUGGCAAAUGCAUUCUUCUAUAUCCCACCCGCACGCAAGUGUAGACACUUGUUUGCAUUCAGAUAUCAGGGACACAAUUUGCAAUACACCAGGUUGCCACAAGGCUUCAAAAAUUCACCAAUUCAAUUUUUAAGCAAUGUUUGAAAUCAUUGCUGCAGGAUCUAGAACUCUCAGACAGAUGUAAACUCCUGAUGUAUGUUGAUGACCUCUUCUUGGCAGCCCCAACAGCAGAGUUGUAUUUGUCUCUAACUAAACUAGUUUUGCUUCAUUUGCAUGAGCUGGAAUUCAAAGCUUCCAGAAAGAAGCUUCAGUGUUGUCGCAAAUCGGUGACCUUCUCGGUCAGAGUGGUUUCCUCUGAAGGAUCUACUAGGUCCUCGGAUCAUUGUUCUUCUAUUCUAUAGCAGAAACAUCCUAACAGGGUCCUGUUCACUGAUGGUUGCUGUUAACGUGAGCCGGAUGGCUCUUUGCGACGGCUGCCGUAGUGGAGCAGCAGCCCUCAGAUCCAGGACUCUCCUCCAUCACCACCUCCUGCACUUGAUCUUCCUGAGUGAUCAUCUGUUUAUCUUAAACGACUCUCUCGUAAGUGGUCAGAACCCCGUUGGUCUGGCCCCCACAAGGUGACUGCUCGUACCUCCAAAGCCUUCCGCUUGGAGGGAAAAGGAACUAAGUGGUUUCAUUAUUCUAUGCUUCACCCUGCUACAGACUCUUAAUUGCACUUUUAUUUUAUUGCUUGUUGUUGUUUUAUUGUUAACUCUGAUUCCUACAGAUGGUCCGAUUGCUUUUUGGACCAAGAGAGGGAGAGCAGGAAUCUAUAGUAUUCUUAUUAUUGGUGUUAUUGUUGUUCUCUGUAUUUUGAUUUGGGAAAUCGCUGAAAAAUACCCUAUACCCACACCCAUAUCAGUACCAGCCGUCGUGGGGGGGGUUGUAUGCAUCUUUUUAUCCGGUGUCGACACUAGCUAAAACCGCAAUGGAACAAUUGGAAAAUCCCUGUGAUAAUCCCGACAAAUAAACGGAUGAGCUUUACUUUUGCUGCAAUGCUUCCAAAUUCACUAGUGUACUUAUGCUAAAUUUAAACUUGUUUUCUAUUGGAAGGUACAAGGCUAGUGAGUGGGGAGGCUAUGAUUGGUAGUUAGAUACGAGCGGACACACAAAGGCUGGGGGCUGGGGAUAUGUCUCACACCAAUUAUGGGGAGGGUGGGAUAAGGUGUCGUAUGGAUGGGAAAAAUCCGCCAGAGACUGGCAACAGCGACUCUCUAUCAGAAGAAGGCCGGCAAAUAGAGAACCCCAUUUGUUUCUGACUCUUAAUACCACUCUUUCCCCUCUAUUGGGAUCUUCGCCUGCCAUUCAUAAUACCCCUCAUUUCUCCUCCCCCAUUCAGUGUUACACAUUAGGCUUAUGUCUUUACAAGGCUAACAAAGAUCCAUGUACAUGUAUACAUUUUUGUCCGAAUAAAACCGCCUUUGAUCUGACCAAAGGUCAGCAGAACGAACCUACCCUGCACUCAUUAGUUCUAACAGGAUUGAGCCCCGGCUCAGCCUCCAAUAGUCGUAUUAAGAGUCGUAUUAUAGACGAAGCCUUAUCUGUUGAUGAGUGGUUUAAGGUUUUGACACGCAUUAGCACAGUAAAUAAUAAUUGGUUACUAAAGGCAGAACAAGCGGCUAAUAAAACCCCGAGGGACUGUGUUCUAUGCAUGGGACCGAGACCUUUAAGUGUUGUUUCCUCUUCUGUCAACUCCACCUGUGUUGUAGAUCCUAUGAAAAAUUAUGUGCCGACUAAAAAUGAAUCUAAAAUUUGGGAUACUGCACACCCAGAAACACCAGCCCAAAAGAACAAACCUGUGUUUAAUUGUGCUGUGGUCCGCCAAAACUUCAACUGUAUUUUCUUAAAGGUAAUGGGGCCCCAAUUGGCAAUAUCUCUGAUGAUCACUGUACAGAAAACUACUAAGCAUCUUUCUUCCAACCGGUCAGCCGUGCUGAUGUGUGGUGGUGGACCGCCUCCCGCGCGACAGCAUGGGCAGAUGUGCAUUAGUAACUUUACUUUCACCCAUUUCUAUUGUUCCUGUCACCCUAGAUGAUCUGGCGAUUGCUCCUGAACACUUCAGGAAAGCCCUCGGCCUAUUACACUGUUCACGUAGGUCAUAACCUACCUGGCUGGGUGCUGAUGACCCCACCUACAUUGACGCUAUUGGCGUCCCCGUGGUGUCCCAGAUGAGUAUAAACUGGCUGAUCAGGUAGUUGCUGGUUUUGAAAAUAUAUCUGUAAUUUCCACCCUGUUCCCUGUUACUCCAAAUAAAAAUGUCAACCGUAUCAAUUACAUACAUUAUAAUGUGCAACGCUUGGGCAAUUUCACCGUUGAGGGACUUGAAGUUGUACAUGAGCAACUUAGGGCUACAUCUAUUAUUGCUUUCCAAAAUAGAAUUGCAUUAGAUGCAGUGUUGGCCGAAAAAGGUGGUGUUUGUUCCUUCUUUGGCGACCAAUGCUGUACCAUUAUUCCGAAUAACACAAAACCUGGCAGCCGCCUCACUAAGGCUGUAGAUGGACUUAGAACCCUUGCUAAGAAAAUGAAGGAACACUCUGGUGUUGACACGUCUAUGUGGGAUAACUGGAUGAAUGUGUUUGGUAGAUGGAAGGGUGCCAUUUCAUCAAUCUUCAUCUCUCUGACUGUCUUCACCUCUAUUCUCACCCUAUGUGGAUGCUGUUGCAUUCCUUGUAUUCGUUCUCUUUUAACCCGUCUGAUGGAGAAGGUGAGUGGUCCCCCGGCUGAUGGCCGCUGUAAUUAUGUUAAUUAGACCCCCGCCCCGACACACUCCUCAAGAUAAUUUCAUUGUUGCUGUCGCUCCCCUUGAAAAUGAUGCUGUACUUUCACCAUCAUCCAACCCUGAUUUAAUGAUGUUUCAUGCCCCAGGAUUACAUUACCCUUGCUCAUAUUGUGUGAUUAUUCUGUUCUACUUAUAUUUGAGUGUUGUUGCUUUCUUUUUUGCUUUGCUGUAUUUGUCUAUUACUGUCCUGCAGGUUUAAAGCUUAUGUGUGUUCUGACUCAUGAGGCGAUGCACUUAUUACAAGGCAUGGUUGGACAACGAGAGAGGGUUUUAUGUUUUCCAUAUUUCUUCAUUUGUGAUUUUUGUGGGGUUAUCUAUUUCAUAGAUCAAGAGAGGGAAUGAAGACUAUUUUACUUUUAUUGUACUUUCAUUAUUUGAUUAAAUAUGACCUUAUACAUUUAAUCAACAGAUAAAGUGUUGUCCAUUUGCUAAUCAGACAAGGAUGUGUUGUGAAGCACCGUGGCUGUCCUUGAUCUUUGUACCCAGAAAACCGGCUGGCGCCAUCCUCCUCUCCCAGGUGUUGCUGUGGAGACAAAUGACACCAGAUAAGGAGAGGAAAGUUACCAUCCCAUCCCCGGACCAGACUGCGAGGGGGGCUGUUAGGUCCAAAGCACGGACUUCUCGCUCAAUGUGGACCUAGAGGUCACGACACCGGGAUAAAAUGAUUGAGACAGAGGCAGUUAUUUUUUACUAAACUGCAGUUUAGGGAGAGCUUGGAGGAGCAGAACAUAUCCUCCACACCCGCACGUAAGACUCUCUCCGAGCCCCCCCAAAACCACACAUUUUAUUGAGUUUCACACAUAGGGAGGGGGGAGCAGGUUUCACAAGACAAGUAAAGUUGUUAUACAGAGACAGUUAAUCUUCUCAAAGCCGGGUGUCCUCUGAGUAGACACAGUUCUUCCUGUUACAAAAACCCACAAGAAUGCAACUAUCAUAAAUUUGCAGUCACCUUGAGCUCUUAAACUUCCCAUAGACAAACAGCACACACACACAUCCCUGCACAGCAACAGUAAUUAAAAGAUUUAUGACACAUGAGGAGAUACAUUUCACAGGCCUCUGUGAAAUGUGUAAGCUUAUCUUACAGGGGCAGCAACUUCUACCAUGGACCCAUACAUAUAAAAACCCUAUGUUACCGGGCA
Molecule: long non-coding RNA, 7590 nt
Organism: Syngnathoides biaculeatus (alligator pipefish)
Lineage: Eukaryota; Metazoa; Chordata; Actinopteri; Syngnathiformes; Syngnathidae
Exons: 5
Source: RefSeq, a predicted model, not a curated record